Sinocyclocheilus anshuiensis is the source of this 258-nucleotide long non-coding RNA. RefSeq lists it as uncharacterized. The record is from RefSeq and is a predicted model, not a curated record. The transcript is spliced from 3 exons. NCBI's taxonomy places the organism in Eukaryota, Metazoa, Chordata, Actinopteri, Cypriniformes, Cyprinidae.
GUCUCGUGAACACCGUACUGUUUCCGCCUCAGUACACUGAAGAUCUAAGAAAACACUUCACACCCUACAACCCCUAAAAAUAACCCAGAUUUGACAGCAGUGCACAGCCAUCUGAGGCCGACCUGUUUUACUUCAUGAUCACCCCAGAUACUUCUACAACUAACCCGCUUUGUAAGUUCUCAUAGCUACACCUUAAAGAAGCACAUAAUUUUGGGAACAUUUCCUGUGUAUUUGCUGGUAAAUUACUGAGAUACUUUU